GCCCGGACGCGCGCGCGGAUGCCUCCGGGUCCCCGUGGCAUGUGCAUCCGCGGCCUGUGCCACCUCCGCGCUGCUCCAGGUGCUCCGCGCACCCCCCCCCACACACCCUUUCCUCGCUGCGCGGCGGCGCAGGGGCCGGGGAAGCGCGCCAGGAGCAGGCCGCGCGCGGUGCCGGGGAGGCGGGCGGUGCUUUCCGCGCCGUCGGAGGAGCGGUCGCCGCGGCUGGGAGCGAAGGCUUUGGAGAAGUGACAGCAGUGCAUUUUUUCCUACUGAAAACAGCAGCUACUGUAAUGCUUUCAAAUAUAUGCAAAUGAUACAUGCGGUUAGUGGUUUGGCAAAUCUUGAUUACAAUAUAAACUACCCAAGGAAAAGUGCCUUCGUCCUAAAUUUGUCUUUAGAUUACAAUUCCAGUUGAUUUUAUUUUAUUGUCAACAUUGUUAAUGAUAAAAAUAGAGUCGUUUUACAGUUAUUUUUACUUUCUGGAAGGAGGCAAUUAGACUUCUAAUCAGGAAUACACAAAAAUCUCCCAUGAUUAACUGCAGUACUUUGUUCAAAUUGCUGCUAUAAAAUUCAGAACAAUUUGCCUGUAAUGAUUAUGGACUGGGUUUAUUUUGGGAGGUGGAAUAAAAGUGGAUAUAGCAUAAAUUAUCCUCUAAUUAUACACCAGUGUCGCCUCAAUUAUCCUCUUAUCAAAAUGGUUGUCUAACUGCCGCAUUUAGUUUCAAUUCUCUCCUUUUUUCUAUAAAAAGAACUUCAUACCUUGUUAUUAUUAAUCCAUUUAUUAUUUGCAAGGGGAUUUAUAUCCGAACAUCCAGGUGGUAUUACCACUUCUCUUUCAAAGAUGGACUGGGGAAAGACAUUAAGUUUGAUCCAGCACCGCGGAGGAUCUCUCCCUCUCUCUCUCUCUCCCCCCUCUCUCUCUCGCUCUCUCUCCUUUUUUUCCCCCUCUUUCCCUUGCUUAAAUCUCCUCGCGUCCAGCUAAGCAUGAACUCCAGAGGCAGACCCCGCCGGAGAGGACUGAGGGCGGCCGGGAUGUUUCAUGCCCCCUUCCCCACGCUCUCCUCGGUGUUUCACUUCUUGAGCCUGUGGAGUCGGUUCAGUAACUCUGAAUGCACUUGCAAAUAGGACAGAAAGACGUUUUUCAUUUCUCAUGACACCGGGUGAUGAGGAAAUGUUGGCUCUGCAGUAACCUCAAAAGUGGACAUCGGGCAGAUCCAAUGACUCCUGAACUCUAGAGGACAUUGAUGCUCUUCAACUUUGAAGAUAAUUAAGCUGCUGUGGAAAAUGACCAGAAAACUACAGUCUGAGAAAACCCAUCCAUCAUCUUCAGGCAGUUUUCCAAUCUGUUAACUUUAGCUGCUACUAAUAAGUCCAGGAAAAGCAAUUAUUAUGAUGUUUCACAGAAUAGCUUCCAGAGAUCAUACGAUGUAAACUGCUGUCGGGCAACAUUUCUUGUAAGGAAGUGGCCUUCUUUUCUUCAGUAAGCAACUUUGUCCAAAGCAAGUGUGAUAAAAAUUGAGUUAGAGACCCAGACCCUUAGCUGUUGGAAAUGGGGAUUGACCGUAGUUACUGUGCCAAUUUGCACCUUCCAAAGAUUUGAAUCACUGUGUUUUGUAAAGCACUUGCUUGUGGGUUUACUGAGUGUGCAGUCUCUUUCAAUAAGGGAGAGAGUUAUGGAAUGGGAUCGAGAUAUCCUUGCUAACACAGUAUAUCAUGGAAUGCCAAAUCAGGCAUCUGGCCUUGACUUCAGAUUUGCUUCCAGAAAGUGAUAUUUUAUCUACUAUUUAACAUACAUAAUCAGCAAUGUGAAACAAGCCAAAACUCAGUGCACUAGCAUCUCUAGUUUGUUUCUUGCCUUUCUGAGGCCCUUAAUAAAACUGAUCGCUGCCUGUUGUAAUGCAGCAGGCUGCUACCUGCCAUCAGUCCCCCUGUCAGUACCCUUGUACAUGGCAGUCGCCUGCAUUUUUUUGGUACUGUGUCUCAGCAGCAUGUGGACAGAGGGAGCUGCCAGUGGUGAGCAUCACUACGAAGGUGUUAACUGGCCUGGAGAGAAGGAGGCCCCUCCAAAGUUAUAAUGAAGCAUUAUUGGGCAACACAGAUAUCCAUUGGUGGAUAUCCAUUAGAAGGAGAGAGGCCAGCGGAGGAACUCAGCUGAGGUCCACAUACAGACAGCUUCUUCUAAGAGAAGGGGAAACCAAAGGAGUAGGGGAUUGAAGGAAUGGUAUAUGGUUUAUCUAGGACUGUGUUUACUAUAGCCUGAUUUCUAUCAGGAGGGACAGAUAGUGAGGCACUGAGAAGGAAAACAUGAUAAAUGCUUUAUGAUAACAAACUUAUAUAUUGACAAAGCUCUACUUUGGGACCUUGGAGCCAAAGCAUUUAGGAUGACUGAGAUCAUCUGUGGUGGCAGCUCACCAAGCCUCACUGAUUAGUUUCAGGGGCUGAUUAAUAUCAUAUCUGCUUAUUGAAAGCUCCUUGCUACUAGUUCCUGGCCAUUCUUCACAUGUCCUCACAAGGAGGUGUUAGCUCAUGAGUAACUUUGGAAUCAAUUCCGUCUGUCACUGCUAGACUCCUUGAUCUUGAUGACCAUUGUUACUGGCAGAUGAUAUUCAGCAUACUUCCAGAUUCCCAUCUACCUCAUCAGACUGCAUGAUUUAUUGUUUCAAUUGCACUUCUGUAGAAUAUUAUAGGUCGUCUUGGUGUGUUUGGAUUUCUGAUUGCAAACUUGUUUUCUGAACCUUGAAAAAAAUUGACACUAAGAGGAAAGCAUAGUCUGGAUUGCUUCUGAAAACUUCAGAUUUAUGUGCUAGAUCUUCCUCCAUAAUAUGCAAUCUGAGCCUAGAUACCCAUUUGCUUCGCAAGCAAAAAUCUUGGUGUUGAGUACCAUCAUUAAGUUUUUUGCUAAGACAAAUAAGAUCAAGGGGUUCAUGGUAUGAUUAUAAUACUUGUUUGGCAAUUGGUUCUUUUCUUGACUAAAUUCUGGACAUCCAUAUGUUGGGAGGUUAGAAACUAUAAUUUGCCUUGCUUAAGAGAAACGAUUAAGUGAAUCGAUAUUUGCUUUAAGUCAUCAAAGCUGUUUUGGCCCACAGGUGUAUAUAUAUAUGUAUAUAUCUGUAGUCUUAAAAUAUGUAUAAGCAUUCAUCCUAAUAUAUAUGUGCAUUGCUCACAUGCAUUAUAUGAAUAUGUGUACCUUUAUUCCUUCAUAAAUAUAUGUAAAAAUUCCUCCUUCUAUAUAUCUCCACAUACGUUUAUACACAUUCCUCCUGCAUAUGUCCUCUUGGCCUUAAUUGCAGAUUGAUGGGUGCCAGCAAACAAUCUGGUUCUGACAUCUAAUAAGAGGAUUAGAUAUAUUGCUGAAAGAUCAACAGUUGGUGUUUGGGACUUCAUGGCUCCCUGAACACCAUGAAACUGAGUGGGUGGAAAGGCUGCUCUUGCUGUAAGACUUACCUUAGUUACAUGUACUUUGUUCACUUGGGCAACAGUUCUACUGUAGUAAGAUGCAAGUUUGUUAAAAACUGUUAUUUUCUCUUGCACAGGGGGAAUAAGGGCUUCCUUCUUAUUAAAAAUUUUAGCUUCAUGUGAACUAUUGUGGGGUUUUAGUGAUAUAAAGUCUUAAAAUGUGAUAAUGAAAUACUGAGCAGAAAACAUUUAAUGUUUGAUUCCUGAUAGCAUUAUGCUAUCUGUAAUGAUGAUAAUGAUAAAAAUAAAAAUGGCAUUUCUUAUUUGUCAGAUACACUGUAACACAGAAGGUCCGACAGUCAGAUGACUUCUAGGCAAGAAACUAGCAUAGGCCUGCAGAACUGAAAAAAUGCUACUUGCUUACUAUCUGGUAUAGCAGAAGAUUCUUUCAAUUAAAUAUGUAAAUUAAGAUGGGUAUGAGCAACAAAUAUCAAGUUUCAAGUCAUGCUGUGCCAUUAGUUUGAAGCCAGAACUCAUCUUUGGUUUCCUAGAGACAUCCAUGUGCAAAUUAAAGGCAAGAGAAUGACUGGUCUUUCUGGUACUAGCCUGUUAUGUUAUUCUACAGCAAUGUGCUCAGUCUGGAAAAUACAUACCAAUAAUGAAUAUGUUUUUUCAUCAAGAUAUUCAUUUUCUUGUAUAAGACCAUCUUGUUUCCUAGAUCUUUUUACACCUAUUACUCAGUUUAUGUGCACAAUAGGACUUGUAAUAGUUCUGUAUCUCUUCUUAAAGUGAAAAGUCAAAGGGAAAAAAGGAGUUCUUAUGUCUAAGUGUUUGAAACUGACUAUGGUCUAGACGCCAUUAAAGCACAAGUGUAACAGCACAUGUUUAAAAAAAUAAAUAGUAGAUGUAGGAUACAACAUUCCAGACACAGCAGAGAACGUUCAAAUUCAUAUAAGCCUUCUGGCUUAGUUUAUACUUCUUGAAAGAUACUGGAAAACUGGUGGCAUUUUUCAGUUUUGUACUUUGCAACUUGUUGAGGUCCCCGAAUGUGUUUCUUAUACUGUUCCUUUGUAGUCAUCGGGUUAUUGGAACAGAUGUGUGAAUGAAAAUAAAUCUCAAUUCUGCAUUGCUUAUGGGGCUUGGUUCAAAGAUGAUUGAUUGUCAUCCAUAGAAGGAUCUCACCCAAGUCUCUUCCAUACUUCUGAUCACAUCAUUAAUGAAGACAUUUUGAUCACUUUGGUCUUUUACCUACCAUCUGAAGAGGAAUAAUGAUCCUGCCUUUGAAAAAUGUUUUGAAACUGACAGUGAUGUAGAUAUUAAUCACUGUUACAACUUCUUAGAAACAGUAAGAAAUGAAAUACCAUUUAACUGAAAGACUGUGUUUUAUUAUAUUUACAACAAUGGAAUUGGAAUAUAACCUUUUUAUUUAAAAAAAUCAAGCCACAGAUUAAGUUUUGAUUGCAUUAUUUUGUACUGAAAAUAAGAAUAAUGGAAGCAAUUAAAUUUUCAUAGUCCUGCUCUCACACAAACACUUUCCAUGGUGAGCCUGUUUAUGCAACUGAGUGUGCCAUACAAUUGUUUUUAUUACCUUCUUAUAAAACAGCCUGUAUAAAACACUUUCUUUUUGAUUGUUUCUUUGCGUAUUGUUGAGUGUGUUUGCAUUCUAAAGGGCUUUGCUCAUUAAAGCAAUUACUGUAAACUUGC
Long non-coding RNA from Dromaius novaehollandiae (emu), 5100 nucleotides. RefSeq lists it as uncharacterized. The transcript is spliced from 5 exons. Lineage: Eukaryota; Metazoa; Chordata; Aves; Casuariiformes; Dromaiidae. The record is from RefSeq and is a predicted model, not a curated record.